RNAcentral lists this transfer RNA (86 nucleotides) under Mycobacteroides chelonae. Its description in RNAcentral is "tRNA-Leu". It matches the Rfam family "tRNA". From Rfam's summary of the family: Transfer RNA (tRNA) molecules are approximately 80 nucleotides in length. Their secondary structure includes four short double-helical elements and three loops (D, anti-codon, and T loops). Further hydrogen bonds mediate the characteristic L-shaped molecular structure. tRNAs have two regions of fundamental functional importance: the anti-codon, which is responsible for specific mRNA codon recognition, and the 3' end, to which the tRNAs corresponding amino acid is attached (by aminoacyl-tRNA synthetases). tRNAs cope with the degeneracy of the genetic code in two manners: having more than one tRNA (with a specific anti-codon) for a particular amino acid; and 'wobble' base-pairing, i.e. permitting non-standard base-pairing at the 3rd anti-codon position. The record is from RNAcentral. Lineage: Bacteria; Bacillati; Actinomycetota; Actinomycetes; Mycobacteriales; Mycobacteriaceae.
GCGCUCGUGGCGGACUUUCGGCAGACGCGCCCGGUUCAAAACCGGGUGCCCAUCCGGGCAUGCAGGUUCAAAUCCUGCCGAGCGCA